UUUUUUUUUUUUUUUUUUUUUUUUUUUUUACUUCAAAUGAAACUAUCAGAUACUCCAAGGAUUGGUGACAGUCUAGAAUAUUUUGGGUUGGCCCAUUUUGACUAUUCAGACAAAGGGUCAGCUGUUAUUAGAGACAAUUUUUUGCAUUGACAUCUUGAGGCCCACAGGAAAAUUUGAUCUUCUUAUUUCCCAGUUCUGGUCUGAAGUAUAGUGCUGGACCAUGAAGUUAACAUAUUAGGUCUCCAGAGUCAGAUAAUUUAUAAAGGUUCUUUAAAAGAUGGAUGAUAAGAGUGCACAGUUCUCUGUGAGAAGUUUUGAUGGUUGGUGGUGGCACACUGGCCACGCCACUUUGGGGAUGGUUGUCUCUCCCCACAGGUGAUGUGUGUAAGGCACAGCAAAGAGCAAGAUUAGCAUGCUGUGCUGCAAGAGCAGAAAGCUGUUUUUAAAAUUGCCAUAAGUGUUUUCUCUUGGCCACUCUGAUUGCCUAGGUAAAGUGUAACUAACUGGUAAAGUUUGCUGGAGAAUUUACUUGUCUCAAUGUCCAAUAUUUAAUUUUCAUUGUUUGUCUAUGGGGUGGUGGUUUAUCUUGCUUAAAAAUCCUAAGUGCUUUAUUCUACAAAAACUGGUGACAAGUUGCAGACUGUAUCUUUUUUUUUUUUGUUUAACAGAAUUAUUUUAUAAUUGCAUCUGGUAAAGAAAAUAUUAUAUAACUAGCUCCAAACAAUUUUUUUGGCCAUUGUACAGAAAAGGACUUACUCAUCUUAAACUAUAAAAAAAAUCAUCUGGGCAGACAAACUUGCCUGCCAAGUUUUAGGUGGCUAGGAUCCAGAGUGGCUGAGACAUUAAAUGUGAAAUCUAAGUUCCUACACUUGAAAUGCCAAACUACAACAUCAGGCCCCUGAUGCUAUAACUUUUAAGAGAACUAAGUGGUGUAAAACUGUGCAUAAUUAUUUCACUCAUGAACAAAAAACCUAUUACUCAUAAGCAGAGUUUUAGGUAAGUUAUAAGGAUAUUUCUUGAGAAACAUAUGCCAAUCAUUCGACCAAACAAGGCUGUGCUUUGCAAUUAUAUGUUACAAUUUUUUGGAUUUGCUGGCUAGUGCAAAUCAACAGAUUUUGAAAGUCUAUUGGUUAUGGCCUCAAGAGGUACUUCAUAACCUUUUAUUUUUUUACAUUAAAUCCAUUAGGGUAUCACAGGCUAAAUAAAAAUUAUCUUCGACCAUCAUUUUUUUCUUUAUUUCUCUCUUUAUCUUGCUUAUAUGUAGUACAGUACCUGGCAGAGUACCAAGGGUUAAAACUCAGCUUUCUCUGAUGUUGGUGUACUAGCAGCUUAAAUAGCAGUUUUCCUGCCAAUUUAAACUUUUACUUUUUAAUGAAGAAUUUAAACCAGAAAAGUUAAGCAUUCCUUGGGCUUGCUCUUUAGUAGGAAGUAAGUUUGAAUUGGCACUGUGAUUACUAAAGCUCUUCUUUUAAAUCUUAUUGAACCAAAACUAAAAAUUCUGUUUAAAUCCUUGUAGUCAUCUAAAAACAUAAAAUACCAAAAGACCAAUAAACAAAAUAAAAAAAAAUCUAAACAAAUAUAUUUUACAACUUGGAUUUUAGAGAAACAAGCUGCUCUUUCAUUUCUUAUUUAUUAAUUUUAAAUAAAAUCAUUCAGCCCUACCUCAUAAGAGAUAUUUGUCCUUUGUGGGUGAUCUUAAAUUUCUCUCAAAAUAUACAGCUACAUAAAAUAUACACAGAACAUUUUAUUCCUAUACCUGCUCCAUCAUAGGAAGAUUAUUUCCAGCCCCUGAAAUAACUUUGCAAACUUCUGGGGUUUCUGUAUAUUUUAUAUUGAUGGGGCCCAGAAGAAGCUGUGCUUGGUUCUAAUACAUCUCCAUGAGCUGACUUUGUUUACUGCUCUCAGAAGUGGAAGAGAAGGCACAAGAAACUUUGUAAAGCUCUGGAGCAACACGUGGAGAAGCUUGCCUUCAUUCUUCUCUCCUUCCAUACAAACACUAAGUUUUCUGUGCAUGGGUUUGGACCAAAUGACUGAAACAGUCUGUGGCUCAAGACUAUCAUUAGAAGUUUGGAUCUUUCAGGUGCUUAAGUGGCUGUCAUCUAUGUGACUAAUUCUGAGUCUGUUACGGAAGUUGUAGUGUUAUCUGCCCAUGGAUCUGUUAUGGUGUUGCCUACUGCAAAUGAGCUGUCCUAGCUAGUAAACACCUUGGUCCAGCUAAUCCAGGAGCAGAUGGCUGAGGCUGUGGUUAUCUUGAGGCACUGGGCUUUAUCAUGUUGCAGACAACAGCCGGAGGCCAGGUGCCUCAAACAGGAAAUAGAUUUAGAUACUCCAGAACCUUGAGGAUUUGUUCUAUUCAAGCUACUCAAGGAUCAUACUUAAACACAUGCUUAUAUACUUAACUGUCCUUGAUGAUGCUAGUCAUAUCACCUAAAAACAGACUUAAUUUUAAAAGUAGUGAAUUUUAUAACUCUCAUUUCUUUAUGUUACAGGGAUCAGCGCUUCAAACAAGAUGGCAUUCUUGCUCAACUCUUUGUUUCCCUUCUAUGAGAUGAAGAACUAGGGAUAUGCUGACCCUGGAAUCACGUCUGCAAAGUGUUUGGAGUUGUUUGGGAACAAGGCUGAAGAAAAUGGAGAAAUAUUAUUAGAUUAUGUUUAUUUUUUCCAGAUUUUUUAAAAAAAAUAUUUUCAAUACCUCUGCUAGUGAAGAUGUAAGAGUGUUGUUGAUGGUUCCACACACCUUUUUGUGGGAAGACUUGUAGUUCAUAAAAAGAAAAAAAAAUGGAGGAGAACAUAACUGUUCUUGAAGGUGGUGAAUGGUGUGGGGAAGAUGGAUAUGAGGAGUGGCAGAGGUCACUUGGUUUGUUCAGCCUGGGGAGACUGAGGGAUGAAUCGACAGCUUCCUCCCAAGGCAAAACAGACAGGCAGGCACUGGUCUGUUCUCUUUGUUGACCAGUGACAGGACUCGAGGAAAGGAAAUGAAACUGUGUCAGAGGAGGUUUAGGUUGGAUAUUAAGAAAAUGUUCUUCUCCCAGAUGGUGGCUGGGCACUGGAACAGUCACUCCAGGGAAGUGGUCACAGCACCAAGCCUCACAGACUUCAAGAAGUGUUUGGACAACAUUUUCAGAUACAUGGUGGGAUUCUUAGAGUUGUCCUGUGCAGGGCCAGGAGUUGGACUCUGUGAUGCUUUUGGGUCCUUUCCAGAUAUUGAUUCAUUCUGUGAUUCACUGAUGACAGCAAGAUAACUGCAGCAUCAUCUAAACUAACCCAGAAAAUCACCCACACGUCCCUUAGUGCUCAGUCUUCACUGGAGCCAUGUCUCCUAAUUAACAUCUGCAGUGAUUACCAGAUAUUCUGAAUUAAAUUGUAUACAGGCUAAUUUUCAAAUUGUGUAUUAUUAUCAGACACUUCCUGUGUUGAAAUUGUUGUCUGGACAUACUUCACAAUCAAAGCAUUGUGUAGCACUAGGUACAUUUCUUUAUAUAAAAAAACAGAGAGAAGCUCUUGAGCUGCAUGAGAUGGAGUGAAAUUGCCUUAGUGAGACAGAAUCUGAGUUUUGACUCCCUAGCUGUCAUGAAAGUCAAACACAAUGAAUCAUCUGAGGAAGAGCUGGAGAAUUUGGAACAAAUAGAUUCUCUGAAGAAGGUAUAAAUAGAGCUUUAUGCUGUUUAUGUUCUCUGAAGAGCUAGGAGGGCCUCUUCCCUUCAAAUUUGCCAUGCUAUUAGGAGCACAAAGUGCCCUUUUUGGGGUGAGAACAUAGAAAUUUCAUUUUUCAGGAGUGAACGCUUAGCGCAAUCAGCACUUGAGAACAAGGCUGAAUGCUCCAAACUAUGAAAGCCCUCACAGAACAUGACUCUCCAUAUAGAACCCUGAGAUCUUUAUGAAUAUGUAACUUGAUAACAUCAGGUAUCUAUGCAGGUAUAUGCAGGGAUGUAUAGCUAUUCUGCAAAGAACUGCUUCUCUGCUUCAGUCUCCGUUGACAUUUCUUUUUGCCUGUGAAUGAAUUAAGCACAAGACUGAUCACAUAAUGUGGACUAUGAACUCGAUGUUCAAAGUCAAGAUGAAGAGUUCAAGAGCAAGUUGAAAUAUUUGCUGAAGCAUUUUUGUCAGCCAAACCCUGUAAUAUACUUACAGACUUACACCCCAAGGGAAGAACCAUUGCAUACUUAAGAUCAUAACAGAAAGAGAAGGAAAUGUAGUAAGAACAUUUCUGUAUUAAAGUAAUUUCACUGCUGUAUAAUUUUCUAACCAAAAUGACAUCCAAAGACUUCCAAGAUAACCAUGUCUCUAAAAUAGCUUUUCUUCUGAAAUUUUCAUUUGCAUUUAAUCUGUGGUGCUGUGAAGAAAAAGAGAACACAGCUGUCAUUUGAGGGUUCACACCCCUUAUCAUGAACUGCAUUGAUACCUGUGGCUAGCUUGGCUGUUUCCCUACUAAUCCACGAGAAAACUAAGCUUGGCCAGUCUUCUGCUCAGCAUGGUUUGUUCCCUCUACCUUUUCCAUGCUGCCUUAAAAUUCCUGACUGAUGUAAAUCUGGGUUCCCACAAAUCUGAAUGGGAGUAAAGAGGCAAGGAGGGAAUGGCAAACCAGCCACGAAUACUGUUGUCUAUGGCUAUAGACAUAUAGACGUAUCCACAGAGCAGGUGGCUUAUACUGUGGAUGCCUUUGUGUGUCCUCAUGCAGAUUACUUGGUAGCACAUGACUAAACCUUGAGUGCCAAUACAUGACUCCAGAGACAUUUCCUCAGUUUAUGGGGUGAGGGAAAAAAGCAGAAAUUAUAUUUCAGAACAUAUUAGAUAUUUCUGAAAUACUUGAUGGUACAUAUACUGGGUGUUUAGUACAUGCUUUAUACCUCAAAGUAUUCAUGCAUGUAUAUUUACUUUUAUAAUUUAUAGACCAGUUACAACACCAAGCUCUCUUCCAGAUGUCAAGAAUAAAAUUAUAUUUCACAGCUACUUUUACAACUGAUAGUAAAUCUUGAAGAUGGUACAAGUACUGUGAAAGUCAUCUGACCUUGAGCAAGAAGAAAACCCCACUGGAAGACUUCUAUCUCAGAGAUAAUCAAGGUGUGCCUGCAAAUGGUUGCUUAUUUGCAGCCAGAGACUUUGGUUCUGCACUAUUUUCCUUUUUAAAAUGAAAGGUGCAAGUUUAACCCAAAAUUCUCAAAGCCAAAAAUACUUUCUUUCAAAACCAGUUGACCAAAUUGUGAGGCUGACAGUUUUUGGAAAGUUUCAUGAUAGUUCUCCAAGAAAUGUACACAUCAGCAUUAAGCAGGCACAUCUUAAUAAAAGGCAAACAUCAGGAGGAACACCAGUAUUGUAUUAUGAAGCUUACAUUAUAUCAUAUGCUUGUGUUGCCUAAAAAUGUUCCACAUGGCUCUUUCACUUGUCCCAAUGACCCUUUAAGGAGCCAGAAGAUUCUGCCAGUAAAAAAGAAGCCAGUUAAGAGUAUCAGAAACCAAAUGUUAGGACUAAAGUUAGGAGAAACCAUCAAAAUCACCUAUGGUGUUUAGUCCACAUUAUACAAGGAAUUUUUCCAAGCCUAUGUUAUAGUGUCAAUGAAUAAUUGUAAAUAUUAAAGAGACAUGGAUACAGUGAAAAUAAUUUUGGAAACUUUUCCUUGUAUUGCAGCUCAUGGCUGGGAAAUUUUCUGAGCAGAAGGCAGUAUGUACACCACAAUGGUUAACAGAUUUCAUGGUCAUUCAUAUCAACAGUUUCAACCAUUCACUGAAUAGGAGAAUAUAUAUUGUUGUCUUUUAAAUUUCCUUUUGAUUUUUUCCAUUCUUGUCAUACAAUUCAUGGUCAUCAAUUGCCCUGUAUUAGCUUUCACCAUGCCAUUUGUGACACGGAGUAUCCUCUUCCUCUGCAACUGCUCUUCACUGUCCUGCUUCAGCUAUAUGGAAUUGUUCCAUACCUGUGGAGCAUCACCUUUUAUGUAACUAUUCUUGUCCUAUUUUAGCCUUUUUGGGGCAGGGCUGCACACACUCUAGAUAAAAUAAUGACAGAUUCAUACAGUGGAAUAAAGAUAAUGUUUUCUGAAGGUCAUGAAAAAGGGCAAAACACUGAUUGCUCCGUGGAGCAAAAAAAGAACUAUUUCCACAGAUAGAAAUACUCAUUAUAAUCUCUCCUUCCAAAAUAUCAGUAAGUAGAAAACCUUAUUACAAAAAAGAAUAUUCACCUGAUAAAAGAAAAAAACACCAGGCAUCAAAAACAAUAUACAAGCCUACAGUGAAAGCAUAGGAAAAGCUGUGAUAUAAACCCUCAAAUAGUCCUAAAAUCACACAGUUCCACAUUAAUUUCUCAAAAUUUCCAUAGGAGCAACACAGCCUCUGAUGCAAAACAUUUACCUUCAUCUUCCAUCAAAUUCAAUAGCUUAUGUUUAGUAGUAAAUUCAUGAGAGUUUCAAGCAUUCAACCUCUGGAAAAUAUUUGGCCCAUUCUAGAACUUAACCCUGAAAACAGUAAAGUGAGCAAAUGAAUCCCUUUAAAAGAGGUUUUCAAACCUCUAAAGGCAACCAUGUGGGUCUCUUAUGUCAAUGCAUCGUUUCUAUAAUCCACUGUCCAGCUACAGCAGCUCAACUCUGAAGUGGUGAUGUAAGCUAAAACCCUAUAAUGCUCUUAUUCAGUGAUAGAAAAUCUUCAAUAAACUGAGCUUUCCAAAAUAUCAAGGGGACAACGUAUUCUUCCUAGAAAUUAAAAGUUGUAUUUUUCAUACAAUAAUUAAGUGAGAUAAGUAUGUUGCAAAACAACCGAGUCCAAAGAUACCUUCCUGUCAUCUCAGACACUUCCCAAUCCUCUGGAGCUUUAUUGUUGUGUUUAUUGUGAUGUCACAGGAUUCUCUGGAUGUGUGACCUUACUGGUAUAUGCUGCCCACGUCUACCUGUGCUGCUCUCUUCCUUUCUCUUUAUCCCCAGUGCUAAGACUAACUUUCAACAAUAAAAUGAAAUAUUUUGAUUUAUGACAAAAAGGUUAGUUAGAAAAGUCAGAUACUAAAUUGUUCAGUGGAACCUUUAUCCUUUGAUUAUGCAGUUGGCUGAGCAUAAGCAUUUUGAUAUACUUUAUUCCAAUUUAACUCCCUAUUGCAGCUGACCCAAAAGCUGACUUUUGCUAUGCUUUGUAUCCCUAGGAAAACAAAAAAUGCAGUGAUACUUGUUAAAAAUUGCAUAAUAUAUGUUUCAAGCAUUUGGCUUAGCAGAAAUGAGAACUAGAACAAACGUCAUGCAAAUAUAUAAAGGCUUGAUAUAGUCUCUUUUUGAAGACCAGUAAUAAAUUUUUUUUACUGUCACUUUAAAUGAAUUUGAUCAUUUCUGCAGUAUAACAGACAUGCACUAUUCUGAAACCUUGUAUUUAGCUUAAUAAUAUUGCCUGAAGAGUAGUUGCAUUAUAAUAUUAGACCUGAAUCAUUGCUCUUUAGAACAAUGACUUAAUUCCCCAUUUCUGUAUUUUUUCUUUUGUUUUGAAGUUAUAUUGUAUGUUUUCUGUUUUGCUUUAUGAGCAGUUCCUAUUAUGUACUGUCAAGUAAACAAAAAAAAAUGGCCUC
Molecule: long non-coding RNA, 7533 nt
Organism: Taeniopygia guttata (zebra finch)
Lineage: Eukaryota; Metazoa; Chordata; Aves; Passeriformes; Estrildidae
Source: Ensembl